UGUGUACUCCCUCCGUUCCAAAAUACUUGACUUCCAUUUGUCCAAAAAUGGAUGUACCUAUAUACUAAGACAUGUCUAGAUACAUAUAUAUUUUGACAAAUAGAAGGCAUGUAUUGUGUGACGGAGGGAGUAGAAU
Non-coding RNA from Triticum aestivum (bread wheat), 136 nucleotides. The record is from Rfam. Lineage: Eukaryota; Viridiplantae; Streptophyta; Magnoliopsida; Poales; Poaceae.